ACUCCUACGGGAGGCAGCAGUGGGGAAUAUUGCACAAUGGGGGAAACCCUGAUGCAGCCAUGCCGCGUGUGUGAAGAAGGCCUUCGGGUUGUAAAGCACUUUCAGUAGGGAGGAAGGUAGUGUAGUUAACACCUGCAUUAUUUGACGUUACCUACAGAAGAAGCACCGGCUAACUCCGUGCCAGCAGCCGCGGUAAUACGGAGGGUGCAAGCGUUAAUCGGAAUUACUGGGCGUAAAGCGCACGUAGGCGGUAUGUUAAGUUGGAUGUGAAAGCCCCGGGCUCAACCUGGGAAUUGCAUUCAAAACUGGCACACUAGAGUAUGUGAGAGGGGUAGAAUUCCAAGUGUAGCGGUGAAAUGCGUAGAGAUUUGGAGGAAUACCAGUGGCGAAGGCGGCCCCCUC
Molecule: ribosomal RNA, 402 nt
Filed under: uncultured bacterium
Lineage: Bacteria
Description: bacterial SSU rRNA
Rfam family: Bacterial small subunit ribosomal RNA
Source: RNAcentral